RNAcentral lists this ribosomal RNA (751 nucleotides) under uncultured Halomonas sp. RNAcentral's name for it is "bacterial SSU rRNA". It matches the Rfam family "Bacterial small subunit ribosomal RNA", at positions 15 to 763 of the family's 1533-position model. Lineage: Bacteria; Pseudomonadati; Pseudomonadota; Gammaproteobacteria; Oceanospirillales; Halomonadaceae. The record is from RNAcentral.
GAUCCUGGCUCAGAUUGAACGCUGGCGGCAGGCCUAACACAUGCAAGUCGAGCGGUAACAGGGGUAGCUUGCUAUCCGCUGACGAGCGGCGGACGGGUGAGUAAUGCAUAGGAAUCUGCCCGGUAGUGGGGGAUAACCUGGGGAAACCCAGGCUAAUACCGCAUACGUCCUACGGGAGAAAGGGGGCUUCGGCUCCCGCUAUUGGAUGAGCCUAUGUCGGAUUAGCUAGUUGGUGAGGUAAAGGCUCACCAAGGCAACGAUCCGUAGCUGGUCUGAGAGGAUGAUCAGCCACAUCGGGACUGAGACACGGCCCGAACUCCUACGGGAGGCAGCAGUGGGGAAUAUUGGACAAUGGGGGCAACCCUGAUCCAGCCAUGCCGCGUGUGUGAAGAAGGCCCUCGGGUUGUAAAGCACUUUCAGCGAGGAAGAACGCCUAGUGGUUAAUACCCAUUAGGAAAGACAUCACUCGCAGAAGAAGCACCGGCUAACUCCGUGCCAGCAGCCGCGGUAAUACGGAGGGUGCAAGCGUUAAUCGGAAUUACUGGGCGUAAAGCGCGCGUAGGUGGCUUGAUAAGCCGGUUGUGAAAGCCCCGGGCUCAACCUGGGAACGGCAUCCGGAACUGUCAGGCUAGAGUGCAGGAGAGGAAGGUAGAAUUCCCGGUGUAGCGGUGAAAUGCGUAGAGAUCGGGAGGAAUACCAGUGGCGAAGGCGGCCUUCUGGACUGACACUGACACUGAGGUGCGAAAGCGUG